CCCAAACCCUUCACCGCCACCACCAUCACUUUUCUCUUUAUUACUAGCACUGCAACACCAUCUCAGUCACCUUCUCACUUUCCCUGUCUCUUUUUUACUGCCAUCCCAUCUUCUCUUCCGUCUCCAAUCCCCAACAUUCUUGAAUCAGGUGAAGUUUAUUUUAUUGGGUUUACAAGUUCCAAAAUCAAAUUCGGCGAUUAGUCAAGAUUAGAUUUUAGAUUAGCAUUUUAUUCAUUGAUUCUAAAGGGUAACAGUAACAAGACCACAGUUAUUGAAUUAGGUUUGGAUUGAGCUUUUCAGAUGUGUGAAGUUGGUCCGAAAAUGCGCAGGGGUCGAUUCAAAAGCAGGUUUUGUUGGUCGGAGGAUGGUGGUGGCGAGGGUGUGGUAUGUCUGGUCGGCAAAUGGAAGGGAGAAGAACGAACAGUGGAAGAUAGUGAGAUGGAAUUUUGAAGCGUGUAAAAAGUGUGUGUGAAGGGUAGGAUAGUAAAUGUGUAAGCAGUUCCGAUUUUGUUUGAAUUUCUGUAGGUUUGAACAUGGAGUAGAGUAAUAUAAGCAGUUCCUAAUGCGGCACGGAUUGCAGCAUAUCGAUUUGACAUGUCUGUUUGUUUGCUUGAUAAUAUUUGUUUAUGGAAAGAUAUCCUUGUAUUUCGAAUUAUGGAGCAGCUGGCUCCUAAGUUAGCGAAUUCAGCGUCAUGUGUGCAGAGUAUCCCACCAAAUAUUCAUGAUAGGAGUUACUACUAUAUCUGCCACUUACUGAUCAGUUUCAUGAUUGUGUGAAUGAAUGCAAAAUGGUUAAGCGAAGGGGAGGCUAAUGAUGUCACAUAUGAUUGACUACUUGCGGUGAAUGAGGUGCUCUUCGUCCGGAGCAGUACUUCUUAUGCAUUUUAUGAACACCGGUCAAGGUCGAAACUGCACUGAUUGGAUAUUCAUGUACAACGCAAGGAUUAAGACAAGGAAAUUGUAUUUUCCAUGGAAUGCGACUAGAGGGAUGGGUUGCCUUGAAUGGGAGGAUGCCCAUCAUUGUUGAUGAAGUAAUAACAUGUGAACCAACAAGCAAACAUAGAUUUAUUUUGGCUGGUGAAGGUAGAAAAAUUAGGCAUGCAUUUGCUCCUCUACAAUAUAGGUUUUGGAAAAAAAAAUCACGCCCAAGAAAG
This is a long non-coding RNA of Papaver somniferum (opium poppy), 1154 nucleotides long. RefSeq lists it as uncharacterized. NCBI's taxonomy places the organism in Eukaryota, Viridiplantae, Streptophyta, Magnoliopsida, Ranunculales, Papaveraceae. The record is from RefSeq and is a predicted model, not a curated record. The transcript has 3 exons.